UACGUAGGUGACAAGCGUUGUCCGGAUUUACUGGGCGUAAAGAGCGCGCAGGCGGUCGAUCAAGUCGAGUGUGAAAGCCCCCGGCUCAACUGGGGAGGGUCAUUCGAUACUGAUCGACUCGAAGGCAGGAGAGGGUAGUGGAAUUCCCGGUGUAGUGGUGAAAUGCGUAGAUAUCAGGAGGAACACCGGUGGCGAAGGCGGGUCUCUGGGCCGUAACUGACGCUGAGGAGCGAAAGCGUGGGGAGCGAACAGG
Molecule: ribosomal RNA, 253 nt
Filed under: uncultured bacterium
Lineage: Bacteria
Description: partial 16S ribosomal RNA
Rfam family: Bacterial small subunit ribosomal RNA
Source: RNAcentral